This 188-nucleotide long non-coding RNA is filed under the name dengue virus type 2. RNAcentral describes it as "Dengue virus 2 partial sfRNA1". The record is from RNAcentral. Lineage: Riboviria; Orthornavirae; Kitrinoviricota; Flasuviricetes; Amarillovirales; Flaviviridae.
UAGAAGUCAGGUCGGAUUAAGCCAUAGUACGGAAAAAACUAUGCUACCUGUGAGCCCCGUCCAAGGACGUUAAAAGAAGUCAGGCCAUCAUUAAUGCCAUAGCUUGAGUAAACUAUGCUGCCUGUAGCUCCACCUGAGAAGGUGUAAAAAAUCUGGGAGGCCACAAACCAUGGAAGCUGUACGCAUGG